AUGGCGACAACGCCACCCAACCACCGGCCGCCGCUUCUGCCGUUAUCCUCCUCCCUGCUGCUGCUCCUCCUCCUCCUGGUCCAUCCUUUCCUCUCCGCCGGGACGCCGUCCAUCACCACCAAAGCCGUGCCGCGGCUGCCGGGUUUCGCCGGACCCCUGCCCUUCUCCCUCGAAACAGGGUACGUGGCGCUGGACGACGGCGUCCGCCUCUUCUACUACUUCAUCCAGUCGGAGCGCGACCCGGCGGAGGACCCCGUCCUGCUCUGGCUCACCGGCGGGCCCGGCUGCUCCGCCCUCUCCGGCCUCGUCUACGAGAUCGGCCCUUUCUACUUCGACUUCCAUGGCUACACGGGAGGCCUGCCCACUCUGCUCUACAAGCCAGCGUCUUGGACCAAGGUUAGCAAUGUCAUCUUUGUGGACGCUCCGGCAGGGACAGGCUUCUCAUAUGCGACCGGAGACAAGAGAACCAUACCCAGUGACACAAUUGCUAUUCAACAGCUGCACGUCUUCCUCGAAACGUGGUUUGAUGAGCACCCACAGUUCUUGUCGAAUCCGCUCUACAUUUCGGGUGAUUCAUACAGCGGUAUAAUCAUACCUUCUCUUGCUAUGAAAAUUGCUAAAGGGAUAGAAGUUGGUGAUGAGCGACUCACUAAUCUCAAGGGUGUCAUUGCUGGAAAUCCAUUGACUGAUACAACGACGUACUUCAAUGCUCAAAUUGCAUUUCUUCAUCGGAUGGCAAUUAUACCAGAUGAAAUCUACGAGGCUGCUCGUGAAGGUUGUGGAGGAGAAUAUCGAUGGCCAUCGAACUCCCAUUGUGCCAAAUCCCUCCAAGACAUCAAAGAGUGCAUGAGUGGCUUAAACGAUGUACACAUCUUGGAGAAAAUUUGUCCAGAAUAUCCAAGCCUCACCCUUCACAAGCAGCCGGCGUUGCAGGAUCAUGGAAGGAGAAGGCUAACCGAGUCCGCAGUUUCGUCUGUGUGCAGGAAUGCCACAUACUUCCUGUCGGAGUUAUGGACAAAUGACGAAGCUGUAAGGGAGAGUUUGGGUAUUCACAAGGAAACCGUUCCAUCAUGGCUACGAUGUGAUUUCAAUCUACCUUACACAUAUGAAAUCAACAGCACGGUUGAUGAUCAUUUAGCCUUGAUUACUAAAGGAUACCGGGCUAUGAUAUACAGUGGAGAUCAUGACAGUAAAAUAUCUUAUGUCGACACCCAAGCAUGGAUCAGACGACUUAACCUGCCCAUCACACACCGUUGGCGACCAUGGCAUCUGGACGACCAAAUUGUGGGGUACACAAGAACUUACUCCAACAAUCUGACAUACGCAACUGUAAAGGGUGCUGGCCACACAGCCCCGGAGUACAUGCCAAGGGAGUGCCUGGCUAUGAUCGAUAGAUGGCUUUCCGGUGAGCCUCUUUGA
This 1419-nucleotide ribosomal RNA is filed under the name Triticum aestivum (bread wheat). RNAcentral describes it as "partial small subunit ribosomal RNA". Lineage: Eukaryota; Viridiplantae; Streptophyta; Magnoliopsida; Poales; Poaceae. The record is from RNAcentral.